Molecule: ribosomal RNA, 765 nt
Filed under: uncultured Lactococcus sp.
Lineage: Bacteria; Bacillati; Bacillota; Bacilli; Lactobacillales; Streptococcaceae
Description: bacterial SSU rRNA
Rfam family: Bacterial small subunit ribosomal RNA
Source: RNAcentral
GACGAACGCUGGCGGCGUGCCUAAUACAUGCAAGUUGAGCGCUGAAGGUUGGUACUUGUACCGACUGGAUGAGCAGCGAACGGGUGAGUAACGCGUGGGGAAUCUGCCUUUGAGCGGGGGACAACAUUUGGAAACGAAUGCUAAUACCGCAUAAAAACUUUAAACACAAGUUUUAAGUUUGAAAGAUGCAAUUGCAUCACUCAAAGAUGAUCCCGCGUUGUAUUAGCUAGUUGGUGAGGUAAAGGCUCACCAAGGCGAUGAUACAUAGCCGACCUGAGAGGGUGAUCGGCCACAUUGGGACUGAGACACGGCCCAAACUCCUACGGGAGGCAGCAGUAGGGAAUCUUCGGCAAUGGACGAAAGUCUGACCGAGCAACGCCGCGUGAGUGAAGAAGGUUUUCGGAUCGUAAAACUCUGUUGGUAGAGAAGAACGUUGGUGAGAGUGGAAAGCUCAUCAAGUGACGGUAACUACCCAGAAAGGGACGGCUAACUACGUGCCAGCAGCCGCGGUAAUACGUAGGUCCCGAGCGUUGUCCGGAUUUAUUGGGCGUAAAGCGAGCGCAGGUGGUUUAUUAAGUCUGGUGUAAAAGGCAGUGGCUCAACCAUUGUAUGCAUUGGAAACUGGUAGACUUGAGUGCAGGAGAGGAGAGUGGAAUUCCAUGUGUAGCGGUGAAAUGCGUAGAUAUAUGGAGGAACACCGGUGGCGAAAGCGGCUCUCUGGCCUGUAACUGACACUGAGGCUCGAAAGCGUGGGGAGCAAACAGG